RNAcentral lists this small RNA (19 nucleotides) under Arabidopsis thaliana (thale cress). Its description in RNAcentral is "ATSL191710". The record is from RNAcentral. Lineage: Eukaryota; Viridiplantae; Streptophyta; Magnoliopsida; Brassicales; Brassicaceae.
GUUUUACAAGAGUUUUUUU